GUUGACUGUGAACGGUCACGUGUUGUGUUAGGAGGCUCGGGGCUCGCAGUAGGCGGUAGGCCAGGGCGGGGCAGCCAGUAGCACCUACCGCAGUAGUGACACGGGGAAGGUGAUAAAAAGAAGUCAAGGAACUGAUUGUGGCACGGUGAGCAUGUGUGAGAAAGGUGUAUUCACUUUUCCAAGUGUUGCCUCAGUCUUUUCUGGAAGGAGAAAGUUCAUGGGGACGAGUAUUACCUCGAACUACAAGUCUCAGCAUGAUAGCGCCUCUCAUUCGUACAGUCCAAGGCCCCCCCUCGCCCCAUAUGUACAAGGUAACCGAUUCUGAUGCUUGAUCUCUGUCUCUCUGUGGGCGCUCCUUGAUGACGUCAUCCACUGUGCGGCAGCUGAUGAGCGGAACGGCUCGUGGCGGCGGCUAACAGUUUGGCGUUUGUCAAGGUGAGUGACCCACAGGUGAGAUGAUUAAUGUAUUGCACAUGUGUGGGGGAGGUCUUCACUGUGGUAUAAAAUGUAUGUUCUGUAUGUGAUUCACAUCCCUGACGACGGGCGGAGGCCCGAAACAAUUGUUGGAUGUUGCUCCAAUAAACAUUUACACUGUU
Molecule: long non-coding RNA, 596 nt
Organism: Pseudophryne corroboree (corroboree frog)
Lineage: Eukaryota; Metazoa; Chordata; Amphibia; Anura; Myobatrachidae
Exons: 4
Source: RefSeq, a predicted model, not a curated record